This 293-nucleotide ribosomal RNA is filed under the name uncultured Alphaproteobacteria bacterium. RNAcentral describes it as "partial 16S ribosomal RNA". Lineage: Bacteria; Pseudomonadati; Pseudomonadota; Alphaproteobacteria. The record is from RNAcentral.
GGACUACCGGGGUAUCUAAUCCUGUUUGCUCCCCACGCUUUCGUAUUUCAGCGUCAGUACCGGGCCAGUGAGCCGCCUUCGCCACUGGUGUUCUUCCGAAUAUCUACGAAUUUCACCUCUACACUCGGAGUUCCACUCACCUCUCCCGGACUCGAAGAUCGCCAGUAUCGAAGGCAGUUCCGAGGUUGAGCCUCGGGAUUUCACCCCCGACUUAACGACCCGCCUACAUACGCUUUACGCCCAGUAAUUCCGAACAACGCUAGCCCCCUUCGUAUUACCGCGGCUGCUGGCAC